RNAcentral lists this long non-coding RNA (352 nucleotides) under Elaeis guineensis (African oil palm). RNAcentral's name for it is "long non-coding RNA (EGUI_LNC069885)". The record is from RNAcentral. Lineage: Eukaryota; Viridiplantae; Streptophyta; Magnoliopsida; Arecales; Arecaceae.
AUCAUCUGCGAGCAUGAUGAACUUCCCUGAAUAAACCACUAGAGUGGAUCUUGCUAGAAUGUGAUGACUCCCAACUCUCGAAGGCCUUGCAAGACCAGUUUCACAAUGCAACCUGCUUUGUUUUGAGUCCUAGCAUUGAUAUUAUGUUUUCUUGAAUUAAUAUGUAGCCAUCAUAUUAUAUCAUGUAAUUAGUUGGAUAUCUUUAUGACUCUAUCUAUGGAAAAUUUCUUGGUAGGUCAACCAUGGAUUGUAAAACCAAUUUGAAAGAUGAUUAUCUUUUAGCUUUUACUGGAGCAUGUAUUCUUUUUCUGCUAUUUCUUUCUACAAAACAAGGUGCAAGGUUUUUUGAUGG